GAUGAACGCUAGCGGCAGGCCUAACACAUGCAAGUCGAGGGAGAAGCCCUUUCGGGGGCAGACACCGGCGCAUGGGUGCGUGACGCGUAUGCAACCUACCUUUCACAGGGGGAUAGCCCGAAGAAAUUUGGAUUAAUACCCCAUAAUAUUAUUGGAUGGCAUCAUUUGAUAAUUAAAACUGCGGUGGUGUAAGUUGGGCAUGCGUCCUAUUGGCUAGUUGGAGUGGUAACGGCACCCCAAGGCUACGAUAGGUAGGGGUCCUGAGAGGGAGAUCCCCCACACGGGUACAGGGACAGGGACCAGACUCCUACGGGACGCAGCAGAGAGGAAUAUUAGGCAAUGGUCGGAAGACUGAACCAGCCAUGCCGCGUGCAGGAAGAAUGCCUUAUGGGUUGUAAGCUGCUUUUAGAUGGGAAGAAUAAGGCGUACGUGUACGUUGAUGACGGUACCAGAUGAAUAAGCAUCGGCUAACUCCGUG
Molecule: ribosomal RNA, 478 nt
Filed under: uncultured bacterium
Lineage: Bacteria
Description: partial 16S ribosomal RNA
Rfam family: Bacterial small subunit ribosomal RNA
Source: RNAcentral